GAGAUGAAGAUGGUGGAGGAUAGGGAGGAGGUGGAGGAAGGGAUCAAGGGAGUGAGGGAGGAUCGAGGGAGGUAGGAGAUGACCCAAGGUUGUUUUUUUUUUAAAUAUUAUUAUUUUAUAAUUUUUUUAAUAUUCACGUGGGUCCGUAUUGACACGCGGUGCCCAAUCAUUGUCCACGUGGAUGUCACGUCACCAGUUAACAGCUGAUUUAACAGCAACUUUAACGGAUGUAUGAAAGUGUCCCAAAAUUAUGACUUCAGGUACCACUUUGGGAUGAAAAAAACUUCAUGUAUCAAAUGUUAAAAACUAAGAAACUUAAGGGUAGUAAACUAAGAGUAACCCUUUUAUUUAAUACCAUGUAACUUCUUUCUACAUCCAAUUUAAAUUUUAAAUAUUAAUUGUGUUUUUUUAUUUUCUUGCAUAAUUAUCAUCAAGUACAAGAUGAAAUUAAUAAUAAAACUACAAUUUAUCAAUAAACUCACACAUUAUAAUCAAGGUUCUAAAAGACGCUAUGCGCUAGUCUGGCCGUUGGUUGGGGCCUAACGCCUAGGUGGCUAGGCGGAUUUAAGUAAUAAAUCAUAUAAAUUUACUAUAUUUACUAUAUAACAUAUGAAAAAACAUUGAAUAAUACAUUAUUUUUUUAAAUAAGGAAUACAUAUGCAUGUAUGUAUAUAAAAUUUUAGACUUUCUAAAUUAGUUUUGUAUCAUUUUAGAAAAGCUCAUAUUGAUGGGCCUUUAUUCUCAUUAAUAAAAGUCAAGAAGGUCGGCCUUUUCAUUGUUGUUUUAAUAUAUUACUAACAUUUGCCUACACAUUUUGUGUGUAUGAACACAUUUUUUUAGAAAAUGAGAAGGAGAGGGAGAGGGAGAGAACAUGGGGGAAUGGGAGGUUUUUGUUUUUGGUUUUCAUUUUUUUUUUUUGGAAAAAUUAGUAUCCGGUCCCUAGUUCUUACUGUUCAUUGACUAAGACCUUAUUAGUUCUCAAAUUUUGAUUCAAGUCCCUAUCAUUAAUGUGAUAAUGAAUUUACAUGUUUAUUAUAUAAUUUUUUAAUAUAAAAAUUAGUAAUUAAU
RNAcentral lists this long non-coding RNA (1068 nucleotides) under Malus domestica (apple). RNAcentral describes it as "long non-coding RNA (MDOM_LNC016634)". The record is from RNAcentral. Lineage: Eukaryota; Viridiplantae; Streptophyta; Magnoliopsida; Rosales; Rosaceae.